CAGCCGCCGCGGUAAUACGGAGGGGGCUAGCGUCGUUCGGAAUUACUGGGCGUAAAGCGCACGUAGGCGGCUUGGUAAGUUAGAGGUGAAAGCCUGGAGCUCAACUCCAGAAUUGCCUUUAAGACUGCCGAGCUAGCAGGUGAGAGAGGUAAGUGGAAUUCCGAGUGUAGAGGUGAAAUUCGUAGAUAUUCGGAAGAACACCAGUGGCGAAGGCGGCUUACUGGCUCAUACUGGACGCUGAGGUGCGAAAGCGUGGGGAGCAAACAGGAUUAGAUACCCCCGUAGUCCCUGUCUCUUAUAC
Molecule: ribosomal RNA, 301 nt
Filed under: uncultured bacterium
Lineage: Bacteria
Description: partial 16S ribosomal RNA
Rfam family: Bacterial small subunit ribosomal RNA
Source: RNAcentral